AGAGUUUGAUCCUGGCUCAGAACGUACGCUGGCGGCACGCCUAACACAUGCAAGUCGAACGAAGUAGCAAUACUUAGUGGCAGACGGGUGAGUAACAUGUAGGUAUCUGCCCUUUGGCCUGGAAUAACACGAGGAAACUUGUGCUAAUACCGGAUAAGUCUUUACGGAGAAAGCUUUAUGCACCAUUGGAUGAGCCUGCACUUGAUUAGUUUGUUGGUGGGGUAAUGGCCUACCAAGACUGUGAUCAAUAGCUGAUUUGAGAGGAUGAUCAGCCACAUUGGGACUGAGACACGGCCCAAACUCCUACGGGAGGCAGCAGUGGGGAAUCUUGCACAAUGGAGGAAACUCUGAUGCAGCGAUGCCGCGUGAGUGAAGAAGGCCUUUGGGUUGUAAAGCUCUUUCGUCGGGGAAGAAAAUGACUGUACCCGAAUAAGAAGGUCCGGCUAACUUCGUGCCAGCAGCCGCGGUAAUACGAAGGGACCUAGCGUAGUUCGGAAUUACUGGGCUUAAAGAGUUCGUAGGUGGUUGAAAAAGUUAGUGGUGAAAUCCCAGAGCUUAACUCUGGAACUGCCAUUAAAACUUUUCAGCUAGAGUAUGAUAGAGGAAAGUAGAAUUUCUAGUGUAGAGGUGAAAUUCGUAGAUAUUAGAAAGAAUACCAAUUGCGAAGGCAGCUUUCUGGAUCAUUACUGACACUGAGGAACGAAAGCAUGGGUAGCGAAGAGGAUUAGAUACCCUCGUAGUCCAUGCCGUAAACGAUGUGUGUUAGACGUUGGAAAUUUAUUUUCAGUGUCGCAGGGAAACCGAUAAACACACCGCCUGGGGAGUACGACCGCAAGGUUAAAACUCAAAUGAAUUGACGGGGACCCGCACAAGUAGUGGAGCAUGUGGUUUAAUUCGAAGAUACGCGCAGAACCUUACCAACACUUGACAUGUUCGUCGCAACUCUAAGAGAUUAGAGUUUUCGGUUCGGCCGGACGAAACACAGGUGCUGCAUGGCUGUCGUCAGCUCGUGUCGUGAGAUGUUGGGUUAAGUCCCGCAACGAGCGCAACCCUCACUUUUAGUUGCCAUCAUUAAGUUGGGCACUCUGAAAGAACUGCCAGUGAUAAGCUGGAGGAAGGUGGGGAUGACGUCAAGUCCUCAUGGCCCUUACGUGUUGGGCUACACACGUGCUACAAUGGUAUCUACAACAGGAAGCAAAACUGCGAAGUUAAGCAAAUCCCUAAAAGAUACCUCAGUUCGGAUUGCACUCUGCAACUCGAGUGCAUGAAGCUGGAAUUACUAGUAAUCGUGGAUCAGCGUGCCACGGUGAAUGCGUUCCCGGGUCUUGUACACACCGCCCGUCACACCAUGGGAGUUGGUUCUACCUUAAGGCAAGGUUUCAAACCCUUGACCACGGUAUAGUCAGCGACUGGGGUGAAGUCGUAACAAGGUAACC
RNAcentral lists this ribosomal RNA (1436 nucleotides) under uncultured Pelagibacterales bacterium. RNAcentral describes it as "bacterial SSU rRNA". It matches the Rfam family "Bacterial small subunit ribosomal RNA". The record is from RNAcentral. Lineage: Bacteria; Pseudomonadati; Pseudomonadota; Alphaproteobacteria; Candidatus Pelagibacterales.